RNAcentral lists this ribosomal RNA (478 nucleotides) under uncultured bacterium. RNAcentral's name for it is "partial 16S ribosomal RNA". It matches the Rfam family "Bacterial small subunit ribosomal RNA", at positions 28 to 523 of the family's 1533-position model. The record is from RNAcentral.
GACGAACGCUGGCGGCGUGCUUAACACAUGCAAGUCGAACGGUAAGGCCCUUCGGGGUACACGAGUGGCGAACGGGUGAGUAACACGUGGGUGAUCUGCCCUGCACUUCGGGAUAAGCCUGGGAAACUGGGUCUAAUACCGGAUAGGACUCCGGACUGCAUGGUCUGGGGUGGAAAGCUUUUGCGGUGUGGGAUGGGCCCGCGGCCUAUCAGCUUGUUGGUGGGGUGAUGGCCUACCAAGGCGACGACGGGUAGCCGGCCUGAGAGGGUGACCGGCCACACUGGGACUGAGAGACGGCCCAGACUCGUACGGGAGGCAGCAGUGGGGAAUAUUGCACAAUGGGCGCAAGCCUGAUGCAGCGACGCCGCGUGGGGGUUGACGGCCUUCGGGUUGUAAACCUCUUUCAGCAUCGACGAAGCGAAAGUGACGGUAGGUGCAGAAGAAGGACCGGCCAACUACGUGCCAGCCGCCGCCGUAA